RNAcentral lists this ribosomal RNA (294 nucleotides) under Pseudomonas aeruginosa. RNAcentral's name for it is "partial 16S ribosomal RNA". It matches the Rfam family "Bacterial small subunit ribosomal RNA", at positions 980 to 1274 of the family's 1533-position model. The record is from RNAcentral. Lineage: Bacteria; Pseudomonadati; Pseudomonadota; Gammaproteobacteria; Pseudomonadales; Pseudomonadaceae.
CUUGACAUCCACAGAACUUAGCAGAGAUGCUUUGGUGCCUUCGGGAACUGUGAGACAGGUGCUGCAUGGCUGUCGUCAGCUCGUGUUGUGAAAUGUUGGGUUAAGUCCCGCAACGAGCGCAACCCUUAUCCUUUGUUGCCAGCGGUCCGGCCGGGAACUCAAAGGAGACUGCCAGUGAUAAACUGGAGGAAGGUGGGGAUGACGUCAAGUCAUCAUGGCCCUUACGACCAGGGCUACACACGUGCUACAAUGGCAUAUACAAAGAGAAGCGACCUCGCGAGAGCAAGCGGACCU